AGAUGGCAGUACAACAAAGUCUAACGUUUAGCGUUUCGAACUGUCUCAUGAUAGAGAAAUGUCAACAUAAUGUCACUGGAAUAUUAAUUCAGUAAUAAUUCGCAUAUGGAUUGGCACUCCAUAGUUUAGGACGACAGUUUUGAUACUUACUGUGUGUUAUCGACGGUAAAGACGAAGGACAGGUUUGUUCAGACAACUCCUCACUUCUGAAGUCUAAAGGAUGUUUGCCUGAAUGUUCUUUGUGGAACCAAAAAUGAUCUGUGACAUGUGAAGAACGUGUAGAAUGGCGGCGUUCACGCCAAUCUUGAAGUGAAGAGAAGACCGUUUAAAACACUUUAAACAAGUAUUUAAUGUUACUCUAUUAACUAAAGGAAUAAAUGACCAAACAGUUUAUGUGGAAUCUAUCUACAAGGAUUUUAUUCUUGAAUUAGGUAGUGAUGCAUAGACAUCCGUUUUUCUCUCUCUCUAACAUGCAUAAAUAAAAAAGGUUUAAUUGUGUAAUCAGGAGCUAGAAUCAAACUUCUCAUGAAACAUAAAAUUAAGAUGCUGGGUUGCAUUGCUAGAGGGAAAUUUCCUCCAUUUCCAUGAUAAUGGCACACUAUAAACACUGGUCAUUAGUAGGCACGGCAGACCAGGAGACUUGGUCACGCUUUACAAUGAGGACUAAAGAGAAACUUCUAUCUUUGGUUUAUAACAUUCGAAAUAUUUUGUUAAUGAGGCGGCCUUUCUUCUCAUGCAAAUCGAUGCAAAUUUUGCAGACAGUUGCAAAUUUUCUUCAUUGUAUAAGUUUAAGGACACACAUUCAUGCAUAUUUUUAAUCUUUUGGCACGCACUGUGUUGCAAGGCAAAUUUUUUUUUAAGUUUGCAUAUGGUGGUGCGUUUUCCUAAAAUGAUAUUCUAUUAUAUUGCUAAAAUAGGAAAUAUCCCAAUAUACCGCACCGCUUUAUUGUAACGUAUCGAAAAAUAUUGCACCGCAACCUUUGUAUCGGGAUAUGUAUCGCAUCCUGAAAUUCUUGCCGAUACACGACCCUACUUCUGAUCACGUGGACUGAGAUAGAUUAGAUAGAAAAUAGAAAAAUGAGGAAUGGUAGCCAUUUUUGAUUAAAGGCUUUUUAACAUUUAUCAGGAGUGCCUCAUUUUUCUAUUUAGGCUCUUUUUUGAAGAGCACCCUGGAUUGUUUAUACAUUACUUAUAUAUAUUUUUUGACCCAGAGAAGCAUUCCUUUUUUUCUAUAGAUUAGAUAGAUUUUGCAUAGUCAUUUGAACUGAUGAGCUAUUUAAACUCCUGAUUAAAUUCAAUCUUUUAAUACUUUAAUAAUAAUAAAACUUUAAUACUAGUUUCAAUCUCUGCUUCUUCUGUCUGUUUAAAACGAGAAUGAUCUUAAGAACCAAAGAGUCUUGCUCUUUCUUUGAGUUCUGAAAAGAAAAUAGUGAAGUCCAGCACUAAAGUUAUAACACGUCUACUGAAAAAAUUAUCAGCCAUCAAUAUGAAAAAAAGUGUUUUGGGUAAGAUGUAAUAAUUCUACCCACAAAAAAAUUUCAACUUAGUAUUGGUUCAGAAAGGGACGAACCUAACCCAUUGGGUAAAAUUAACCCAAAAAAUUAUAUUCGACCCAGCAAUAGGGUUAAACUCAAGCAUUUUGAGUUGAAACAACUUAGAUAAAACUUAGAGCUUAAAACAAUUAUAGUCACAAGUUCUGUGUCGUUACCAAAGAGUUCAAUGGUAACAACGAACAUGUGACUGGCCAUAGUUAGCUAACGAUGCUUUUGGAAACAAACCCCAACAUAGGUUAAAUUACAACCUAUGGCUUGGGUUCGUCUUUUUUCGGACCUAUAUUUACCCAGCUAUUGGGCUAAAAAUAACCUAAUUUGGAUUGCUUUAAACCCAGUGUAGGGCUCAACGCAAAUAAUUUUUUAUACUGGCCCAGUCGGGCUAGUGGUUCAGGUUUUCACUUGCCCUGCCAAAAUGUUCACUGGCCCCAAUAAAAAAUAUAUGUCACAUAUUUAAAAAUAAUAAUUCAGAAGUCAAAUAUAAUUGUAUACAACAGACAUGUUCCAACGAAAAAAAGGCUUCCAACUUUUCUGCUUUAAUUGUAAACUGACCGCAAAUUGCGCAAAAAUUGCAUUGUUUCUUUCGUCGUGUUUUACCCAAGUAAAUGUCUGCUUCCAAGAUGUUAAAUAAUAUACAUUGAUGAAAAUAUAUUUUAGUGACUGAGGGUAAAGCACUGGCCCGAUCGGGCAAGUGACAAUACUUUUUACUGUUCGGAACGUCCCUCACACUUGCCCCGGGCCACUGGGCAGUCCAUUAUGUUGAGCCCUGGAGUGUAGGAAACAACACUUUAGUGUUGUUUUGACUGUAUUUAAUGGGCCAUUUUAUUGAUUACAUCAGUAACUGCAAAUGGUUAACCAUAGCUGACUUGUAAAAUAUACUUUUCAAAUUAAUUUUGGAGCCUAACAUUAAAUUUGAGCAACGUUUAUGUAUAUUUUGUAUUAUUUAACAAUCCAAUUGUAAUAAUCCCCAGAAUCCACAGUUUUUCUAAAUCUAGUGAGUAUUUCUCCCCUUUAUUUGAAUGGCAAAAUAUCUUUAGCUAAUGAAGUACCGCAAAUGUAAUAUCUACCUGACAUUUUAAUCCAACAAUGAUAUGGCUAAAUUAUAACCUACCCAGACAUGUUUUACUAACCAGUUUGCAUGCAGUAUAAUGAUCGGCGUUACAGUUCAUUGACAAAUUACAUGACUUCCAUGCUAACUAAACUAACAGAAGUAAUUGGAUUUUUAAUCUUUCAUCUUUGACAGUUUUCAGCACUUUAAUUAUCAUCCAAUCCAUUGUUAAUCAAUCAAUGUUGAUCAACGGUGAGAUUUUUAUAUUUAGGAAUCUUUUAUAAAGAGACACAUAUUUGUAACAACUUUGUACACAA
Non-coding RNA from Misgurnus anguillicaudatus (oriental weatherfish), 2915 nucleotides. NCBI's taxonomy places the organism in Eukaryota, Metazoa, Chordata, Actinopteri, Cypriniformes, Cobitidae. The record is from RefSeq and is a predicted model, not a curated record.